Long non-coding RNA from Zophobas morio, 355 nucleotides. RefSeq lists it as uncharacterized. Lineage: Eukaryota; Metazoa; Arthropoda; Insecta; Coleoptera; Tenebrionidae. The record is from RefSeq and is a predicted model, not a curated record. The transcript is spliced from 3 exons.
GAUCAAACUCUUAAAGUUUGGGAGCUCAGCAGAGAAUAUAAACCUGCGGAGCUGGAAGAUUUUAGCGUGGAAAUUCCCGUUUAUGAUAAAGAAAAAACUGAAACUUUUUCGGGAAACAGUUUUAUAGAACCUUCAUAUUUUUUAUGGAGCGACAGUCUUUCGAAGGGGAUAUCGAUGACGGACAAGCCAAUGGUGAAUCUCGAUAUACGCAAGUUUUUUAAGGAGCCGUCCAAACGAUUUUGCUCUGCUGAACAAACUUUUGAUGGAAAUGCAAUAACCGAACCCUCCAGAAACUGUGCGCCUUCGCUAAAUCAUAACUCAUAUAAAAAAAAUUCUAUCAAGUUUUACUUUCCAG